CGGGUCAACAAAGAGAGGCAAAGCCGCGAGGUGGAGCAAAUCUCAAAAAGCCGUCCCAGUUCGGAUUGCAGGCUGCAACCCGCCUGCAUGAAGUUGGAAUCGCUAGUAAUCGCGGAUCAGCAUGCCGCGGUGAAUACGUUCCCGGGCCUUGUACACACCGCCCGUCACACCAUGAGAGUCGGGAACACCCGAAGUCCGUAGCCUAACCGCAAGGGGGGCGCGGCCGAAGGUGGGUUCGAUAAUUGGGGUGAAGUCGUAACAAGGUACC
Molecule: ribosomal RNA, 268 nt
Filed under: uncultured bacterium
Lineage: Bacteria
Description: partial 16S ribosomal RNA
Rfam family: Bacterial small subunit ribosomal RNA
Source: RNAcentral